AUUGAACGCUGGCGGCAUGCCUUACACAUGCAAGUCGAACGGCAGCACGGGUGCUUGCACCUGGUGGCGAGUGGCGAACGGGUGAGUAAUACAUCGGAACGUACCUUAUCGUGGGGGAUAACGCAGCGAAAGUUGCGCUAAUACCGCAUACGCCCUGAGAGGGAAAGCGGGGGACCGUAAGGCCUCGCGCGAUUAGAGCGGCCGAUGUCUGAUUAGCUUGUUGGUGAGGUAAAAGCUCACCAAGGCGAUGAUCAGUAGCUGGUCUGAGAGGACGAUCAGCCACACUGGGACUGAGACACGGCCCAGACUCCUACGGGAGGCAGCAGUGGGGAAUUUUGGACAGUGGGGGCAACCCUGAUCCAGCAAUGCCGCGUGAGUGAAGAAGGCCUUCGGGUUGUAAAGCUCUUUUGUCAGGGAAGAAACAGCAGCUCUAACACAGUCUGCGAAUGACGGUACCUGAAGAAUAAGCACCGGCUAACUACGUG
This 485-nucleotide ribosomal RNA is filed under the name uncultured bacterium. RNAcentral's name for it is "partial 16S ribosomal RNA". It matches the Rfam family "Bacterial small subunit ribosomal RNA", at positions 30 to 507 of the family's 1533-position model. The record is from RNAcentral.